Molecule: transfer RNA, 64 nt
Filed under: Listeria monocytogenes
Lineage: Bacteria; Bacillati; Bacillota; Bacilli; Caryophanales; Listeriaceae
Description: tRNA-Lys
Rfam family: tRNA
About the family: Transfer RNA (tRNA) molecules are approximately 80 nucleotides in length. Their secondary structure includes four short double-helical elements and three loops (D, anti-codon, and T loops).
Source: RNAcentral
CGGCCGUGCGUGUGGCAUCUGACUUUUAAUCAGAGGGUCGCUGGUUCGAACCCAGCACGGCUCA